UCCCUCACCAGGGCCGGAAAGACCGACGGCACGUGCCGGCGCCGGACGCCCAUCUCCAUCGCAGCAGCCCGCGCCUCCUUGAGCGAGAGCGUUAAAGCGCUCAGAGGAUGUUAGGACGGGAAGUUGCCGCCCUAACUUCCAAAUUUGGGGACUGAACAUCGUUCACCGAAUACACUUUGUGAUGACUGCAUUCCGUAACCAAAUUGUUGGUGGCAAUAUUGGUAUUAUGGGAUACACCAAGUUGAAGUAAUUAUGAUGGUACCUUUGAAGCUGAAAUUUUUGACAUGAGAUAGAAAUAUGAAAGCUUAAUCAGGCUAUAUAAACAUCCUGUAGUUCUGAAUUUCAGUUGGAGGCCUCAGUAUGAUUAACAGUAUGGUUAAUCUUUAAAAACACAUCUCUCCUACGUGCUCCAUUGAAAAGGCCUAGAGACAAGCUACCCAGGAGGAAGAAGCACCCCCUUGCGCUCACACUGUGAUCUCUACCAACCAUUUCCCAUUAAAAGAAACACUGACUCCAUAGAACAAUGGAUGAUCUUGGGUCUGGAGCAGGAAAUGUACAAGAUAAGCCUGCAACAUCUUACAUCAGGAAGCAGCAAAGCAAUCAAAAGGCUAUUAGGGUCAUAUCAAAAGGACUCAGGAUCCACCUUGAAAACCUUCCUACUGGCCAAAGAUAGGAUGAUUUAAAACAUAAAUAAAGGUAACUGUAAUUGGAUGAAGGACAGAUACAUUUAAGUAAUCAUAUCAGACACGACCAAUCAACCAAACAUGCAAGCCAAAAAGGUAUCGCUGUUCAUUUUUAAUGACAGAAGGAAACCAACUCUUAUUCUGAAAACUGGUAAACAAAGGGAAAGAAUCAGGAAUAUUUAUACUGUCUUUCCUGUAUGAAUUAUGAUGCAAAUAACAAAAUAACUGAAGUAAAUUUUUUAUGGAAACAUUCCAACUACUAAAUGAAAAAGAAAUGACAAUAUCACUCCACAAGCUCUGUGAACUAAUAGAUUUAAGAAGUGAUCAUCAAUUAUUUCUUUAUCACAACUGAGAAACCAUCAGGAAUUAUCUGUCUCCUGCUGGAAGAAUACACUUCCACCUAAUGAAGUAUUUUUGUUGAAAAAUAAUUGCCUUUAGAUUUAAACACAGGAGGCGGAACACACUAACAAAAGGUAAGAAAUCAACAUCCAGAUGGAGGGAAACUAUAGGACAAAUGACCUAGUUUUUUCUACAAAUAAGAAACUUCAUCGAAAUUGCAAGAAUUAAGAAAAAGAGAGACAGAGAUGGAAGAAUGCAUGGCUUAAAAAAUUUGAGACAAAUCCAACAAAUUACAAUGAGUAAAUUGCUAACAAUAUCAGCAGAAUGUAGUAUACUGGUUCUCUCAUCCAACUGUUAGACCAUAAUUAAAAGGUGUUGACAUUUUUAAUGAAUAAAUUUUGGCUGUAACUGAUCUAUAUGCUUAUGAUUUUACAGAAAAGCAGUAGGAAAAGUAGCACCAUAUAAUUAAUUAUUGAAAUCAUAGACUCUGGAGCCAAACUGCACAAAUUAGAAUCCCAGCUUUGCCACUUACUUGCCAUAUGACCUUGAGCAAUUUACUUAAUCUUUAUUUUUAAAAAUGGGGGUGAUAAUGGCAUCCAUUUUAAAAGGUUGACUUGAUGAUAAAGUGUGGGUACACACUUCCUUUUCCAAAAUCCUUGGGUCCCUGUGUGUGUCUGAACUUUAAAAAAUAGAAUAGAUAUGCCCAUCGUUUAACUUAAUACCCC
RNAcentral lists this long non-coding RNA (1747 nucleotides) under Homo sapiens (human). RNAcentral describes it as "PREDICTED lncRNA (TCONS_00185538)". Lineage: Eukaryota; Metazoa; Chordata; Mammalia; Primates; Hominidae. The record is from RNAcentral.